AGAGUUUGAUCCUGGCUCAGGACGAACGCUGGCGGCGUGCCUAACACAUGCAAGUCGAGCGAGAAUUCACUUUUGGAUUCCUUCAGGAUGACGAAGGUGAAGGAAAGCGGCGGACGGGUGAGUAACGCGUGAGUAACCUGCCUAUCAGAGGGGGACAACAGCUGGAAACGGCUGCUAAUACCGCAUAACAUUACGAAAUCGCAUGGUUUUGUAAUCAAAGAUUUAUCGCUGAUAGAUGGACUCGCGUCUGAUUAGAUAGUUGGUGGGGUAACGGCUCACCAAGUCGACGAUCAGUAGCCGAACUGAGAGGUUGAUCGGCCACAUUGGGACUGAGACACGGCCCAGACUCCUACGGGAGGCAGCAGUGGGGGAUAUUGCGCAAUGGGGGCAACCCUGACGCAGCAACGCCGCGUGAAGGAAGACGGCCUUCGGGUUGUAAACUUCUUUAAGUGUGGAAGAAAUUGACGGUACACACAGAAUAAGCCACGGCUAACUACGUGCCAGCAGCCGCGGUAAUACGUAGGUGGCGAGCGUUGUCCGGAUUUACUGGGUGUAAAGGGCGUGUAGGCGGGAUUACAAGUCAGAUGUGAAAUACCGGGGCUCAACUCCGGGGCUGCAUUUGAAACUGUAGUUCUUGAGUGUCGGAGAGGAAAGCGGAAUUCCUAGUGUAGCGGUGAAAUGCGUAGAUAUUAGGAGGAACACCAGUGGCGAAGGCGGCUUUCUGGACGAUAACUGACGCUGAGGCGCGAAAGUGUGGGGAGCAAACAGGAUUAGAUACCCUGGUAGUCCACACCGUAAACG
This 801-nucleotide ribosomal RNA is filed under the name uncultured bacterium. Its description in RNAcentral is "bacterial SSU rRNA". It matches the Rfam family "Bacterial small subunit ribosomal RNA", at positions 8 to 808 of the family's 1533-position model. The record is from RNAcentral.